Molecule: small RNA, 560 nt
Filed under: Didymobotryum rigidum
Lineage: Eukaryota; Fungi; Ascomycota; Sordariomycetes; Xylariales; Vamsapriyaceae
Description: eukaryotic LSU rRNA
Rfam family: 5.8S ribosomal RNA (bases 213-366)
Source: RNAcentral
UCUCCGUUGGUGAACCAGCGGAGGGAUCAUUACAGAGUUAUCUAAACUCCAAACCCUGUGAACUAUACUUGUUUUGUUGCCUCGGCAGGUCGCGACCUACCCUGUAGUGCCUACCCUGUAGCAGCCUACCCGGUGUCGCGCUCCAGGCCUGCCGGCGGACCAACCUAACUCUUGACUACUGUGUCUCUGAAUAUCAUAACUAAAUACGUUAAAACUUUCAACAACGGAUCUCUUGGUUCUGGCAUCGAUGAAGAACGCAGCGAAAUGCGAUAAGUAAUGUGAAUUGCAGAAUUCAGUGAAUCAUCGAAUCUUUGAACGCACAUUGCGCCCAUUAGUAUUCUAGUGGGCAUGCCUGUUCGAGCGUCAUUUCAACCCUUAAGCCCUGUUGCUUAGUGUUGGGAGCCUGCUUUACCGCAGCUCCUUAAAGUUAGUGGCGGAGUUAGGUCGCACUCUGAGCGUAGUACAUUUUCUCGCUUUUGCAGUCGUCGUACCCCCAGCCAUAAAACCCCCUAUUUUUAAUGGUUGACCUCGGAUCAGGUAGGAAUACCCGCUGAACUUAA